This 434-nucleotide ribosomal RNA is filed under the name uncultured soil bacterium. RNAcentral describes it as "bacterial SSU rRNA". It matches the Rfam family "Bacterial small subunit ribosomal RNA", at positions 26 to 450 of the family's 1533-position model. The record is from RNAcentral.
AGAUUGAACGCUGGCGGCAGGCCUAACACAUGCAAGUCGAGCGGCAGCACGGGUACUUGUACCUGGUGGCGAGCGGCGGACGGGUGAGUAAUGCCUAGGAAUCUGCCUGGUAGUGGGGGAUAACGCUCGGAAACGGACGCUAAUACCGCAUACGUCCUACGGGAGAAAGCAGGGGACCUUCGGGCCUUGCGCUAUCAGAUGAGCCUAGGUCGGAUUAGCUAGUUGGUGAGGUAAUGGCUCACCAAGGCGACGAUCCGUAACUGGUCUGAGAGGAUGAUCAGUCACACUGGAACUGAGACACGGUCCAGACUCCGUACGGGAGGCAGGCAGGUGGGGAAUAGUUGGAACAAGUGGGGACGAAAGCCUGACUCCAGCCAUGCCGCGUGUGUAGAAGAAGUCGUCGGUAUUAGAAGUCUAUUUAAGGUGGAAGGAGG